CAGUCGCCGCGGGAAUACGAAGGGGGCUAGCGUUGUUCGGAUUUACUGGGCGUAAAGCGCACGUAGGCGGACUUUUAAGUCAGGGGUGAAAUCCCGGGGCUCAACCCCGGAACUGCCUUUGAUACUGGAAGUCUUGAGUAUGGUAGAGGUGAGUGGAAUUCCGAGUGUAGAGGUGAAAUUCGUAGAUAUUCGGAGGAACACCAGUGGCGAAGGCGGCUCACUGGACCAUUACUGACGCUGAGGUGCGAAAGCGUGGGGAGCAAACAGGAUUAGAUACCCCUGUAGUCCCUGUCUCUUAUCU
This 301-nucleotide ribosomal RNA is filed under the name uncultured bacterium. RNAcentral describes it as "partial 16S ribosomal RNA". It matches the Rfam family "Bacterial small subunit ribosomal RNA", at positions 509 to 809 of the family's 1533-position model. The record is from RNAcentral.